RNAcentral lists this ribosomal RNA (424 nucleotides) under uncultured cyanobacterium. RNAcentral describes it as "bacterial SSU rRNA". It matches the Rfam family "Bacterial small subunit ribosomal RNA", at positions 356 to 795 of the family's 1533-position model. Lineage: Bacteria; Bacillati; Cyanobacteriota. The record is from RNAcentral.
GGGGAAUUUUCCGCAAUGGGCGAAAGCCUGACGGAGCAACGCCGCGUGAGGGAUGAAGGCCUCUGGGCUGUAAACCUCUUUUCUCAAGGAAGAAGAUCUGACGGUACUUGAGGAAUAAGCCACGGCUAAUUCCGUGCCAGCAGCCGCGGUAAUACGGGAGUGGCAAGCGUUAUCCGGAAUUAUUGGGCGUAAAGCGUCCGUAGGCGGUCUUGUAAGUCUGUCGUUAAAGCGUGGAGCUUAACUCCAUUUCAGCGAUGGAAACUGCAAGACUAGAGUGUGGUAGGGGCAGAGGGAAUUCCCGGUGUAGCGGUGAAAUGCGUAGAUAUCGGGAAGAACACCAGUGGCGAAGGCGCUCUGCUGGGCCAUAACUGACGCUCAUGGACGAAAGCCAGGGGAGCGAAAGGGAUUAGAUACCCCUGUAGUC